UGGAGCUGAAGAAGCUCGAAUGUGUUUCUGGAACUGUUGAAGCCUGUGAUUUGCAGUUUGGAGAUCAUUUGAAUGAUCCAGUGCAUCGCUGUCUCAGAGAGGAUUCUGCGAGGCGGAGGCAGAGAGGAUCAGCCUUGUGGCGCGGAGGCUGACGUUCAACUCCUUUUUGCAGAUCAAAGCAACAAGAAAGAUUGAAACAUUGAGGCAAAUGCAGAAGGAGGGCUACCAUCUCACUACUACAGGCUGCCAACAUGUAUGGG
Mobula hypostoma (lesser devil ray) is the source of this 260-nucleotide long non-coding RNA. RefSeq lists it as uncharacterized. The record is from RefSeq and is a predicted model, not a curated record. Lineage: Eukaryota; Metazoa; Chordata; Chondrichthyes; Myliobatiformes; Myliobatidae. The transcript is spliced from 3 exons.